RNAcentral lists this long non-coding RNA (4253 nucleotides) under Homo sapiens (human). RNAcentral describes it as "HSALNT0400357". The record is from RNAcentral. Lineage: Eukaryota; Metazoa; Chordata; Mammalia; Primates; Hominidae.
ACACGCCCCAGAAUAUUGGUCAUAGCGGUCCACCCGGGACUGCGCGACCCGGAAUCCUUGGAAGGACUUCUCGGAAGGACUCCUCUCUGACAGGUGGGGCGAGCCUAUGGUCGUUUGGACGUGGAGGGAUCCUUUCAGAACCGGCGAUUUCUUUUAUUUAGUAGUGACAUAAUAUUCUUCACUGUGGCUUCUUCCAUUGUGACCCAGACCAAUCUACUUAAGGUCCGCAAAUACUGCUCACGUUCUCCCAUGAAGUCCAUCAUGUGGGGAGUGUUUUCCUUGUAGGAUUACGCUGCUCUCAAGUGCAUACAUGAUGAUCUUUUUGUCCAAGCAUCAGAGGUGAUCCCAGCAUCUUCACAGUACCAGCCUUUCCCCAAGAUCCUCGCCAGAGAAAAGGGUUACCCAGAUCAUCCUGCCACUGGUUCCAGCAUUUGGAGGCAAACAUGAAGCUCCAUCCUCUCCAAUUCUGGGGCAACCGUGUGGAGAUGAUCAAAAUGCUUCACCUUCAAAACUUUCAAAGGAAGAGUUAAUACAGAGUAUGGAUCGUGUAGAUCGAGAAAUUGCAAAAGUAGAACAGCAGAUCCUUAAACUGAAAAAGAAACAAGUAAAAGUCUUUGCCUAAUAUAUUCUAAGAAUGUAUUUUUUUCUCCCUACCGAAGAUAUUUUUGAGUUUUCCAUAUUUUGAAACAUUACAUAAAAGGAAUCAUUCCUUAUAUAUUCUGACUUGCUGUUUUUGCUACCAUUGUGGUUUUCUUACAUUCAUUCAUUUUCCUUGCUGCACUGUCCGAUUAUAUGAUUGUAGAGAGUGAAAUUUGUUUGUCCAUUCUAUUUUUUAUUUUUUUUUAUAAUCCAUACAAUGGUGCUGGUUUUUGGUUCACAUGCAGAGAUUUUCCAUGGCAUGUGCCCAGGAAUGGCAGUGCUUGGCCCAAGAUUAUGCACAGUGAACUAUUUAAUAGAUGAUACCAAAUUUGCUAAGAAGUAACACCUUUUUACAUUCCCACUGGCAGCUUAUGUGGGUACUGGUUUGUGCACAUUCUUGCCUUUACUUGAUAUCAUUUUUUUCAGUUGAAUAUGAAAUAGUCUUCUGUGGUUUGGAAGAAGGCUGAGCUUAUUUUCAUUUGUUUGUGGGUUAUUUGCGUUCCUUAUGUGCAUUGUUCAAGUCUUUUGUCUAUAGUCUCCUAUUUCAACAUUGAAACUUUUAAGAUUUCCUGAAGUCCCUUGUCAGAUAUGUGUAUAGAAGAUUUGCCUAGUUUGAGGCCUGUCACUUCACUUUUAGCCUAGUAUCCACUCUUAAGUGUACACUAAGUGCAUUUUUUUUUCUGGAAUUGGAGUCUCACUGUGUCACCCAGGCUGGAGUGCAGUGGUGUGACCUUGGCUCACUGCAACCUCUGCCUCCCAGGUUCAAGCGAUUCUCCUGCAACAGCCUCCCGAGUAGCUGGGACUGCAGGCGCUUUAAGUGCUUUUAAUGUAUUCAUACAGUUGUACAGCUAUCACCACUCUCUAACUCUAGAACAUGUUUAUCAUUUCAAAAAGAAACUCCAUACUUACUAGCAGUUACUCCCCAUUUCCCCCUUUCCCCAGCCCCUGGCAACCACUAAUCUAUUCUCUGUCUCUAUGGACUAGCAUAUGCCAAAUAUCAGAAAAAGCAGAAUCAUAUGUGACCUUUUGUGUUUGGCUUCAUUUAUUUAGCAUGUUGUCCUGAUUCAUCCAUGUUGUAUCUUGUGUCAGCACUUCAUUGCUUUAUAUGCCUGAAUCCCAUUGCAUGAGUAUACUAUGUUUUGUUUAUCCAUUCAUUAGUUGAUGGAUAUUUGAGUUAUGUUCAUUUUUUGACUAUGAUUAUUAACGUACUGUGAUGAGAUUCAUGUAAUCGUUUUUGUGCGGACGUAUUUUUACAAUUUUCUUUAUAUAUCUAGGAGUGGGCCUAUGGUAAAUCUAUGUUUAAAUUUUUGAAAAACUUCAAAACUGUUUUCCAAAGUCUCUGUACCAUUUUAUAUUAUUACCAGCAGUGUAUGGAGGUUCCAUUUUUUCCUACCUCCUUGCCAACAUCUGUUAUUUUUGUUUUUUAAAAAAAUAUACCCAUCCUUGUAGAUGUGAAGUUGUAUCUAGUUGUAGUUUUCACUUGCAUAUCCUUAAUGACUAAUGAUGUUGAGCAUCCUUUCGUGUGCUGAUUGGCCAUUUGUAUAUCUUUUUAGAGAAAUGUUCAUUUAGACUGUUUGCUCAUUUAAUUGGGUUGUCUUUUUGUUAUUCUAAGAAUUCUUUAUAUAUUCUGGACAUUAGUUCCUCAUCAGAUGUAUGACUUAAUAGAUAUUUUCUCUCAUUCUGUGGGUUCUUUUCACUUUCCUGAUGGUAUCCUUUGAUGUACAAAAGUUUUGAAUUUUGUUAAAGUCCAGUUUGUUUUUUCCUUUUGUCACUCUUGCAUUUGGUGUUGUAUCUAAGACCCAUUGACUAAUUCACGGUCACAGAUUUAUACCUAUGUUUUCUUCUACAAAUUUUAUAGUUUUACCCCUUAUAUUUGGGUCUUUGAUCCUGAUAGUGUUUUUUUGGUGAACAGAAUUUGUUUAGGUUUUAUAUGAAAACCCACUGGGGCUAUUAAGGUAGUCUUACUGUAUUAUCUUUAGAAGUUUUAUGGUUUUGCUUCUCAUCUUAUUCUUAAUCCACUGGAAACUACAUGUUAUAUAGUCAGUGUUCAUUUAUAUUUACUCACAUAUUUGUCUUCUUACGUACUCACCAUUUCUUCUCGCAACUCAAGUCUUCCAUCUAGGGGAACACCCUUCUACUGAAGAACAUCUCUUAGAAUUUCCUUUAGUGAAGGUCUUUUAGUUAGCAAAUUCAGUAUUUGUUUGGUUUUUAUGACUUAAAUAUUGUCUUAUAUUUGGCCUGUUUAUUAAAACAUAUAUUAAUUUCGUAUGUGAUUAUUUUUUCUUAGUACAUUGUCUUCUUGCUUCCAUUUUUAAGACAUUAGCUCUUGGUCUAAAUCCAUAUUCUUUCAUGGAUAAUGUGAAUUUUCUCUCUGCUUGUUUUCAAUAUAUUCUUUUCUUCAGGGUUCCGUUAUUUUUAUGAUGAUACAUUUAGGUGAUUUUUUUUCCCUUUUAAAUUGAGCUUCCUGAAUAUGAAGGGUGGAGUUUUUCAUCACUUUGGGAAAAUUCCAAGCCGUUAUCUUUUUUACAAAACCUUUCUAACAGUUUAUUGUUCUACUUAUGAAAUCCUGUUAGUUGUAAUAUCUUAUCACUCUUGUCUUCCAUUUCUCUUGUUUCUUUCUUAUUUUUUACUUCUUUGGGUUUCAUUCUGAGCAAUUUCUUCAGCCUGUCUUCCAGUUUACAUUUUCCUUUUCAAUUAUAUGUAAUCUGCUGUCAAAUCUGUCUUCAAUUUCAACAAUUAUGUUUUUAUUUCUGGAAUUUCUGUUUGGCUCUUUCUCAAAUCUGCCUGGUCAUUUUUUAAAAUUUUUUUUGCUUUCAUUGAGUUGUAUUAAAUUUUUAAUAUAUGCCCAAAAAUUCUAAUUAAGUCUUUAUUGGUUUGAUUUUGCUGAGUCUGUUUUCUUUUUUUUUUUGUCUUUAUUUUCUUUACUUGUACAAUGGUAAUAAUCUAGUAAUAACACCAACUAAAUCACAUGAUUGUUUUAUGAAUUGAGAUAAUGAAUAUAUUCAUUAUCUCAUAAUAUGUGGUACAUAGUAAAUGUACAUGCGAUCCAUUAUAAUAAUUAGAAAUAAUGAAAUAUGAUGUAUGAUUAUUAUGAAAUGUACCAGAGCCACAAAUUUUAUUGAGCAAUAUAAAAGACAACUAGAGAAAACAAAGAAAUAUGCCAUACCUGGAUGGAAACAGUAAUAAUAAUGUUGUGUGUUCAUCUUUGACUAAAUCAUGUCUCAUAAAAUUUCAAUAAAAUUCCAAUUAAAUUUAUUUUUAAAACAUGGCAAAUACAUUGUAAAGUUAAUGUAAAAGAACAAACAGGGCCAGGCCCAGUGGCUCAACCUAUAAUCCCAGCACUUUGGGAGGCUGAGGUGGGCAUAUCACGAGGUCAGGAGAUCGAGACCAUCCUGGCUAACAUGGUGAAACCCCAUCUCUACUAUAAUACAAAAAAUUUGCCGGGCGUGGUUGCAGGCGCCUGUAGUCCCAGCUACUCAGGAGUCUGAGGCAGGAGAAUGGCGUGAACCCAGGAGAAGGAGCUUGUGGUGAGUGGAGAUCAUGCGACUGCACUCCAGCUUGGGUGACAGAGCGAGAUUCCAUCUGAAAAAUAAAAUAAAAUAUAAAAAGAAAAA